AGCGAAAUGAUGAAGCAAAUUUUUGUCUGAAACUGAUGUAGAUCUCUUGUUUCAUACAUGCAAUGCCUUCAAAGUUCUCUGAUUGCU
RNAcentral lists this small nucleolar RNA (87 nucleotides) under Medicago truncatula (barrel medic). RNAcentral describes it as "Small nucleolar RNA R160". It matches the Rfam family "Small nucleolar RNA R160". From Rfam's summary of the family: snoR160 is a C/D box small nucleolar RNA, which acts as a methylation guide for 25S ribosomal RNA in plants. snoR160 has been alternatively named snoZ270 in rice. The record is from Rfam by way of RNAcentral. Lineage: Eukaryota; Viridiplantae; Streptophyta; Magnoliopsida; Fabales; Fabaceae.